AACGAUCAUGACAGUUGAUGAUUA
This 24-nucleotide non-coding RNA is filed under the name Arabidopsis thaliana (thale cress). Lineage: Eukaryota; Viridiplantae; Streptophyta; Magnoliopsida; Brassicales; Brassicaceae. The record is from RNAcentral.